Long non-coding RNA from Dicentrarchus labrax (European seabass), 462 nucleotides. RefSeq lists it as uncharacterized. NCBI's taxonomy places the organism in Eukaryota, Metazoa, Chordata, Actinopteri, Moronidae. The record is from RefSeq and is a predicted model, not a curated record. The transcript is spliced from 4 exons.
GGAGGAGGAGGAGGAGGAGCGGGAACGCCCCGGCUCGCAGCGCAGUCCAAUUAAAUUUCCUCCCAUGACCUCAUCACAUUCUUCUCCAACAAUGGCCGCUUUGACUUUUGAACGUGUGGGCAUGAGUGAAUCCUCCGUCGGCAGAGGAACGGCAACGACAUCGCCAUCGGUGCACGCAGCAGGUGCCGGGGUCAGAGGUCAACGAGCUGAAGCCUCCGACAGAUAAAACCUGAACAAAUUGAGGAGUUUUUCAUUGAGGGUGGGAGGACGGCCGCCGCCGGCCGAGCGCUCUGAUUGGACGGGAGGAGAUUAAAGUGGCAGGCUGGAGGCCGGUGUGUGUGUGUGUGUGUACUGUGCGAGCUGUUCAGUUACUAACGGAUCAGAGAACGUUUACUGACAACAUCACAAACUCCAGGAGUCCACCUUAAGACCAGAAAUAACCCAGAACCAGAUCCCCCCCCC